CCCUGGUGCACCAAAUCUUUGGGCCGUUCUUUCUCCUCCAGACCUGCCCCUGCCCCUGCCUGGCAAUCUUCUCGUCUCUCUCUGCCCCAGACCCCAGUGCCAGUGCCCCAGCGGCGCAGGCGCAGGCGCAGCAGCGGACGGAGCCUGCCCUCCCUCUCCCUCCCAGACCCCAGUGAAGGCUGGCUGGCUGAUGGCGAGAGUGGCAUGGCAGCCUGACAAGAAAACAAAUUCAGACACACCAUUACUGCUGCCGCUGCUACCUUUCGUGUCCGACGAGCACACUCCAUUCCCUCCCUCUCCCUGCACCGUACCGUGGUUCGGUUCGGUUCGUUUGACCCAGCGAUGGCAUCUUUGAUUUGGCAUCAUUUUGCCCUGCCCGUCCUCAUCAAAGCUCCAAACUCGAGCGGAACUUUUGGGCUUUUUCGUGAGUGGAUCCAUCAUCAACAGUGACAUUGCAGCAGGGCCAGGGGCGCAGCGUCCGAGGUAAAGAGUUCCGGCACUGACAGCGUGCGUAGAGCUGCUGGUGGUGAUCUUUUCUUUCCCUGCUGUGGUGUGUCAAGGACUUCAGAAGGCGAGGAAACGGAUGGAGUGCCUUGGCUAGGAGCAGUGUGCAAGCACAUACAACAUGGCUCGCUUUGGAAGCUUCAAUGGCAGGCUGUAUCUGCUUUACAAAACAUCGAUUCCAUGGUGCUUUCUCAACACCAUCUACUCAGGACUGUUAAGGAGAAAUCAUGCGCCAAUUUUAUAAACUUUAAUUUAAUUUUAUGUAUAUACAUGAAAUCAAUAUUUUUUUCC
Zea mays is the source of this 795-nucleotide long non-coding RNA. RefSeq lists it as uncharacterized. The record is from RefSeq and is a predicted model, not a curated record. NCBI's taxonomy places the organism in Eukaryota, Viridiplantae, Streptophyta, Magnoliopsida, Poales, Poaceae. The transcript has 2 exons.